AUUGAGAGUUUGAUCCUGGCUCAGGACGAACGCUGGCGGCGUGCUUAACACAUGCAAGUCGAGCGAUGAAGCUCCUUCGGGAGUGGAUUAGCGGCGGACGGGUGAGUAACACGUGGGUAACCUGCCUCAUAGAGGGGAAUAGCCUUUCGAAAGGAAGAUUAAUACCGCAUAAGAUUGUAGUACCGCAUGGUACAGCAAUUAAAGGAGU
RNAcentral lists this ribosomal RNA (208 nucleotides) under Clostridium butyricum. RNAcentral describes it as "partial 16S ribosomal RNA". It matches the Rfam family "Bacterial small subunit ribosomal RNA", at positions 1 to 210 of the family's 1533-position model. The record is from RNAcentral. Lineage: Bacteria; Bacillati; Bacillota; Clostridia; Eubacteriales; Clostridiaceae.